GUUUCCAUACAAACAGCUCAUGCCACCCUUUUGUCCCCCGAAACUGUUUCGUUACCUGCCUUAUUGUUACUUACUUACUUACUUACUUACUUACUUAUUUAUUAUAACACCCCUGCGUCUACUACUUCUUCUCCUUGUCCUCUCCUACCUUCACCCAUGUUUUCUGGACUUAUACUGUGCACACGGAACUGUUACCUGCGGACCUACACCAUUCCACUCCAGACUACCUCUCACCAGCCAGAUUUCCAUCUGAGGCAAAGCAAUGUAGGAACAUCGUUUGGGUUAUUAACCCCCCACCCCCCACCCCCAAGCCCUCUACCUGUUUUCUUCAGAAAUGGCCUGAUUAAAAUCAACUGCCACCGUCAAUUAUGAUGAAUUAUGCAGACAUUGGUGAGAUGUGUACACAUACACAUGUACUGCCGUGGUUUAUCUCUGUCAACAGUUUGGUGCAAAGUUGUUUGAAGACGCAGCAGAGAGGUUGCUGCAACAAAUUAUCAUUCAUCUCCCUGCAUAACCAGCCAGUGAGCGAUCUUCUUGCUCCGCAGCUCAGCCCAGCAACAACCCUGAACUUACCCUCCUGCUGUCAGCACCUGUCUCCCUCUCCUCCUAUAUCUAUUCAGUAUUGUUUGUCUACGUACUAGCACUCGUUACCUUGUAUAGCACUGGAAAUAAAUG
This is a long non-coding RNA of Monopterus albus (swamp eel), 675 nucleotides long. RefSeq lists it as uncharacterized. NCBI's taxonomy places the organism in Eukaryota, Metazoa, Chordata, Actinopteri, Synbranchiformes, Synbranchidae. The record is from RefSeq and is a predicted model, not a curated record. The transcript has 4 exons.